AGUGAACGCUGGCGGUGGGCCUAACACAUGCAAGUCGAACGGCAGCACAGUAAGAGCUUGCUCUUACGGGUGGCGAGUGGCGGACGGGUGAGGAAUACAUCGGAAUCUACUUUUUCGUGGGGGAUAACGUAGGGAAACUUACGCUAAUACCGCAUACGACCUACGGGUGAAAGCAGGGGAUCUUCGGACCUUGCGCGAUUGAAUGAGCCGAUGUCGGAUUAGCUAGUUGGCGGGGUAAAGGCCCACCAAGGCGACGAUCCGUAGCUGGUCUGAGAGGAUGAUCAGCCACACUGGAACUGAGACACGGUCCAGACUCCUACGCGAGGCAGCAGUGGAGAAUAUUGGACAAUGGGCGCAAGCCUGAUCCAGCCAUACCGCGUGGGUGAAGAAGGCCUUCGGGUUGUAAAGCCCUUUUGUUGGGAAAGAAAAGCAGCAGGUUAAUACCCCGCUGUUCUGACGGUACCCAAAGAAUAAGCACCGGCUAACUUCGUG
This 492-nucleotide ribosomal RNA is filed under the name uncultured bacterium. RNAcentral describes it as "partial 16S ribosomal RNA". It matches the Rfam family "Bacterial small subunit ribosomal RNA", at positions 29 to 507 of the family's 1533-position model. The record is from RNAcentral.